GUAAUACGAAGGAGGCUAGCGUUGCUCGGAAUCACUGGGCGUAAAGCGCACGUAGGCGGCUUUCUAAGUCAGGGGUGAAAUCCCGGGGCUCAACCCCGGAACUGCCUUUGAUACUGGAGAGCUUGAGUUCGGGAGAGGUGAGUGGAACCGCGAGUGUAGAGGUGAAAUUCGUAGAUAUUCGCAAGAACACCAGUGGCGAAGGCGGCUCACUGGCCCGAUACCGACGCUGAGGUGCGAAAGCGUGGGGAGCAAACA
This 255-nucleotide ribosomal RNA is filed under the name uncultured bacterium. RNAcentral describes it as "partial 16S ribosomal RNA". It matches the Rfam family "Bacterial small subunit ribosomal RNA", at positions 520 to 774 of the family's 1533-position model. The record is from RNAcentral.